GUCGAGAAUCUUCCGCAAUGCGCGCAAGCGUGACGGAGCGACGCCGCGUGGGUGAUGAAGGCCUUCGGGUUGUAAAACCCUGUCAGCUACUACGAAACACGGGCGAUGAACAAUCGUCCCGUCUGACUUAAGUAGCAGAGGAAGCACCGGCUAACUACGUGCCAGCAGCCGCGGUAAUACGUAGGGUGCGAACGUUGUUCGGAAUCACUGGGCAUAAAGGGCGCGUAGGCGGUCUGAUAAGUCAGGUGUGAAAUCCCUCGGCCUAACCGAGGAACUGCAUUUGAUACUGUCGGGCUAGAGUACAGGAGGGGAGAGUGGAAUUCCUGGUGGAGCGGUGAAAUGCGUAGAUAUCAGGAGGAACGCCGGCGGCGAAAGCGACUCUCUGGCCUGUUACUGACGCUGAGGCGCGAAAGCUAGGGGAGCAAACGGGAUUAGAUACCCUGGUAGUCC
RNAcentral lists this ribosomal RNA (450 nucleotides) under uncultured bacterium. RNAcentral describes it as "bacterial SSU rRNA". It matches the Rfam family "Bacterial small subunit ribosomal RNA", at positions 354 to 796 of the family's 1533-position model. The record is from RNAcentral.